RNAcentral lists this ribosomal RNA (358 nucleotides) under Pseudomonas aeruginosa. Its description in RNAcentral is "bacterial SSU rRNA". It matches the Rfam family "Bacterial small subunit ribosomal RNA", at positions 1140 to 1506 of the family's 1533-position model. The record is from RNAcentral. Lineage: Bacteria; Pseudomonadati; Pseudomonadota; Gammaproteobacteria; Pseudomonadales; Pseudomonadaceae.
GGGGGGGGGUUUUAACUGGAGGAAGGUGGGGAUGACGUCAAGUCAUCAUGGCCCUUACGGCCAGGGCUACACACGUGCUACAAUGGUCGGUACAAAGGGUUGCCAAGCCGUGAGGUGGAGCUAAUCCCAUAAAACCGAUCGUAGUCCGGAUCGCAGUCUGCAACUCGACUGCGUGAAGUCGGAAUCGCUAGUAAUCGUGAAUCAGAAUGUCACGGUGAAUACGUUCCCGGGCCUUGUACACACCGCCCGUCACACCAUGGGAGUGGGUUGCUCCAGAAGUAGCUAGUCUAACCGCAAGGGGGACGGUUACCACGGAGUGAUUCAUGACUGGGGUGAAGUCGAGCAUGUGGCAUGGGCC